RNAcentral lists this long non-coding RNA (538 nucleotides) under Brachypodium distachyon (stiff brome). RNAcentral's name for it is "long non-coding RNA (BDIS_LNC005420)". The record is from RNAcentral. Lineage: Eukaryota; Viridiplantae; Streptophyta; Magnoliopsida; Poales; Poaceae.
AAGGCUUUGGAAAGAUUUUAUUUCAAUUUAAACCCUAGGGUUUACACCCAUUUGAGCUUUGGAUCGUCAAACCCAUAGGGUUUAUUUAUAAAAGGGGUUUAUUGCAUAAAUAAGCUAUCCCAUAAUUUUUGGAUAAUUAUUUGGAGUUGAAAAACUAUUUCAUUUAAAUAGUUAUAUAGCCCUAACAAUAAUUAUAGGGCAAUUGUAUUUUUAUAUAUUUUAUUUUGAGGGGAAAUUACUCCCAAAAGAUGAAUCAUGAUAAAACAUGAUUUUACAAAAAACUUGGAAUUUAUUUGGUCCAAUUUGGAGUUCAAAUUUAAAAGAUAUCAAAGGAAUAAGAAAAACAGAAAAAGAAAAGGCUAAAAGAAAAAAAAAGGGGGCAAACCGGACUGGCCCGGCCGUUUUGGGCCGAACCGGCCCCGCUUCGCCCACACCGAGCCGCUGACAGGCGGGGUCCGCCUGUCAGACUUUGUCCCCGAAGGAAGGCGCGGAAUCCCCGCGUCGCCUGCUGUUUUCGCCGCCGCGCCGUCUCCGCCGC